GACGAACGCUGGCGGCGUGCCUAAUACAUGCAAGUAGAACGCUGAAGAGAGGAGCUUGCUCUUCUUGGAUGAGUUGCGAACGGGUGAGUAACGCGUAGGUAACCUGCCUUGUAGCGGGGGAUAACUAUUGGAAACGAUAGCUAAUACCGCAUAACAAUGGAUGACACAUGUCAUUUAUUUGAAAGGGGCAAUUGCUCCACUACAAGAUGGACCUGCGUUGUAUUAGCUAGUAGGUGAGGUAACGGCUCACCUAGGCGACGAUGCAUAGCCGACCUGAGAGGGUGAUCGGCCACACUGGGACUGAGACACGGCCCAGACUCCUACGGGAGGCAGCAGUAGGGAAUCUUCGGCAAUGGGGGCAACCCUGACCGAGCAACGCCGCGUGAGUGAAGAAGGUUUUCGGAUCGUAAAGCUCUGUUGUAAGUCAAGAACGAGUGUGAGAGUGGAAAGUUCACACUGUGACGGUAGCUUACCAGAAAGGGACGGCUAACUACGUGCCAGCAGCCGCGGUAAUACGUAGGUCCCGAGCGUUGUCCGGAUUUAUUGGGCGUAAAGCGAGCGCAGGCGGUUUGAUAAGUCUGAAGUUAAAAGGCUGUGGCUCAACCAUAGUUCGCUUUGGAAACUGUCAAACUUGAGUGCAGAAGGGGAGAGUGGAAUUCCAUGUGUAGCGGUGAAAUGCGUAGAUAUAUGGAGGAACACCGGUGGCGAAAGCGGCUCUCUGGUCUGUAACUGACGCUGAGGCUCGAAAGCGUGGGGAGCGAACAGGAUUAGAUACCCUGGUAGUCCACGCCGUAAACGAUGAGUGCUAGGUGUUGGAUCCUUUCCGGGAUUCAGUGCCGCAGCUAACGCAUUAAGCACUCCGCCUGGGGAGUACGACCGCAAGGUUGAAACUCAAAGGAAUUGACGGGGGCCCGCACAAGCGGUGGAGCAUGUGGUUUAAUUCGAAGCAACGCGAAGAACCUUACCAGGUCUUGACAUCCCGAUGCUAUUUCUAGAGAUAGAAAGUUACUUCGGUACAUCGGUGACAGGUGGUGCAUGGUUGUCGUCAGCUCGUGUCGUGAGAUGUUGGGUUAAGUCCCGCAACGAGCGCAACCCCUAUUGUUAGUUGCCAUCAUUCAGUUGGGCACUCUAGCGAGACUGCCGGUAAUAAACCGGAGGAAGGUGGGGAUGACGUCAAAUCAUCAUGCCCCUUAUGACCUGGGCUACACACGUGCUACAAUGGUUGGUACAACGAGUUGCGAGUCGGUGACGGCAAGCUAAUCUCUUAAAGCCAAUCUCAGUUCGGAUUGUAGGCUGCAACUCGCCUACAUGAAGUCGGAAUCGCUAGUAAUCGCGGAUCAGCACGCCGCGGUGAAUACGUUCCCGGGCCU
Molecule: ribosomal RNA, 1370 nt
Filed under: uncultured bacterium
Lineage: Bacteria
Description: bacterial SSU rRNA
Rfam family: Bacterial small subunit ribosomal RNA
Source: RNAcentral